Molecule: long non-coding RNA, 696 nt
Organism: Adelges cooleyi (spruce gall adelgid)
Lineage: Eukaryota; Metazoa; Arthropoda; Insecta; Hemiptera; Adelgidae
Exons: 3
Source: RefSeq, a predicted model, not a curated record
UAACUCGUUAAACCUUGCUAAAAUCCAAUUGCUAACAAUUUAACCUUGCACAAUCUACUUGGGUUAAAAUUGUAUAAUGAAAAAUGUGUAAAAAAACGAAUUAAAAAAUAUUGUACUUGUAAAUCUUGUCCAACUCAAAGACAGCGCCCGUCGACUUGAGAGUUAAUUUGCUUUUAAUCAAACUGGCAUGCAAACAAAUUACAUAUUAAAUAGAGGUGCACAAUAACGAUAUUUUAAGUCUAUCAGCUCCUUUUCCUGUUUGCCGGACUUUAACCUAACCUAACCUAUCGUGUGAGAUGCUACUUUCUUCGACCAACUGUUGUGUGUGUACAUCUGCAAGACGACGAGGGCAACAUAAGAGAUCACUGCACUCAGAUUACAUUUAAUAAUAAUAAUAAUAAUAACAUUAUGUUAUCGACGCAAACCGAUAUCCGUACAAAUAGCCCAUACCGGAAUCGGAUCAAAGCACAACACUAUAUUUUCUGUGUGUACACUUUACUCCGGACUUUGUCUUUUUCUGCACGAACCGAGCAAGAAAACCGAAAAAAUAGCAACUGAAAAAGUGCAAUCCGCCACAACCGUCUCAAAAGAUUUAAUGAGAAAUCUCAAUACAAUGCCAUAGACCAAACGGUACAUUAUAUAUUGUAAUGUAGAAUUAUGUAUUGAUAUACUUUAAAAAAUAAACCAGACUUUUCC